Long non-coding RNA from Haliotis rubra (blacklip abalone), 573 nucleotides. RefSeq lists it as uncharacterized. The transcript is spliced from 3 exons. Lineage: Eukaryota; Metazoa; Mollusca; Gastropoda; Lepetellida; Haliotidae. The record is from RefSeq and is a predicted model, not a curated record.
UCUCCUACCUGUGGUACACACCUAUUGGUACAGCAACUGUCAUCAUAGUAGGGCUGUUGGUCAGCGUUCUUACAGGCAUGAACCGUGUGGGUGACGUGGACACCAAGUACAUGGUGCCUUUCUUCGACCGUCUCAUUUGCUGUCUCCCUUCAUCGAUCAGCCGAGUCCUCCGGUGUAAUCAGGAGUUUGACAGUCCCGAGGUACUGUGUGUGCUCAAGCGAAAGAAUUACAGUCAGUAGAACAAAAGAUUCAACACAAGAUGGCUGACCACAACUCUCUUGACACGAGACUUUGAUUGAGAGCCGAGAGUUUACCGUGAGGAUAACACACCCUGGUUCUCACAGCAUUUGGAUAGAAAGCGAUAGCCACAAAUACACAUAGGGAUAUCCAUCCCGGAUUAUUAAACGAUCCAGUUAACAAAUCCCGGUGAGGAUUAAAGUUUUCUUAUUAUACUCAAUCUCUCAUAAAUAUUGUCACCAUUUGGCUAUAUGCCUCUUGACAUAGGGGUAUCAUUGUUUAUGAUAUACGCCUGAAAUAUGAAUCAGCUUAUUAUAUAUUUCUACUAAAUAUUAA